CUUGCAGGAUGGCAAUGGGAUGCACUGGGGAGAUCCAUGCACCAUCCUGCACUGUGUUCCUGCUUCACAACGGGUGUUCUUGCAGGAUGGCAACGGGAUGCACUGGGGUGAUCCAUGCACCAUCUUGCAUUCUGUUCCUGCUUCACAACGGGUGUUCUUGCAUGAUGGUAAUGGGAUGCACUGUGGUGAUCCAUGCACCAUCCUGCACUGUGUUCCUGCUUCACAACGGGUGUUCUUGCAGGAUGGCAACGGGAUGCACUGGGGUGACCCAUGCACCAUCUUGCAUUCUGUGCCUGCUUCACAACGGGUGUUCUUGCAUGAUGGUAAUGGGAUGCACUGUGGUGAUCCAUGCACCAUCCUGCACUGUGUUCCUGCUUCACAACGGGUGUUCUUGCAGCACCACAACGGGUGUUCUUACAGGAAGGCAGAGGGAUGCACUGGGGUGACCCAUUCACCAUCCUGCACUCCGUUCCUGCUUCACAACGGGUGUUCUUGCAUGAAGGCAAUGGGACGCAUCUGGGCCGCCCGUGCAGCAUCUGGCACUCUGUUCCAGCUUCACAAUGGAAAUCCUUGCAUGAGUACUACAGGACACACACGAGGCACCCAUCCACCAUCCCACAUUCCGAUCCCAAAUCACAACCAGUCUUCCAAGAUGAUGGCAAAGGGAUGAAAUGGGAUAUCCCACCCACCAUCCCAUGCUCUGCUCCCAAAUCACAA
Molecule: long non-coding RNA, 717 nt
Filed under: Gallus gallus (chicken)
Lineage: Eukaryota; Metazoa; Chordata; Aves; Galliformes; Phasianidae
Description: lncRNA (ENSGALG00010000885.1)
Source: RNAcentral